RNAcentral lists this ribosomal RNA (230 nucleotides) under uncultured bacterium. Its description in RNAcentral is "partial 16S ribosomal RNA". It matches the Rfam family "Bacterial small subunit ribosomal RNA", at positions 524 to 752 of the family's 1533-position model. The record is from RNAcentral.
UACGUAGGCAGCAAGCGUUGUUCGGAAUUACUGGGCGUAAAGAGUGUGUAGGCGGUGCUCUAAGUUCGGUGUGAAAUCUCCCGGCUCAACUGGGAGGGUGCGCCGGAAACCGGAGUGCUGGAGCGCGGGAGAGGAAAGCGGAAUUCCUGGUGUAGCGGUGAAAUGCGUAGAUAUCUGGAGGAAUACGGUGGCGAAGGCGGCGAUCCUGGACCGACAUUGACGGCUGAUGA